This 212-nucleotide unclassified non-coding RNA is filed under the name uncultured fungus. Its description in RNAcentral is "sequence contains ITS1, 5.8S rRNA gene". The stretch from base 164 to 212 matches the Rfam family "5.8S ribosomal RNA", at positions 1 to 49 of the family's 154-position model. Lineage: Eukaryota; Fungi. The record is from RNAcentral.
UUUCCGUAGGUGAACCUGCGGAAGGAUCAUUAUUGAAUUUCGUUUGGCACGGCGCAAGCUGUGUUGGACACCCCACCCUAUGUUAAUUGAGACGGAGCAAUGGUUCGGGUAACCGUUCCUAUGUUCUGACUCCCCCACCCUUAAUACCUCUCUGAGUUAUUAAAACUUUCAACAACGGAUCUCUUGGCUCUGGUAACGAUGAAGAACGCAGC